GGGUGGUUCAGGCCCUAGGUCUUUGUUGGGGCAGACAGGCAUGUCUGGCUCAGAAAGACAGGGUGCUGGGGUCCUGAGCUGGCAGGGAAAGCAGGGGUAGA
Long non-coding RNA from Gopherus evgoodei (Goodes thornscrub tortoise), 101 nucleotides. RefSeq lists it as uncharacterized. Lineage: Eukaryota; Metazoa; Chordata; Testudines; Testudinidae. The record is from RefSeq and is a predicted model, not a curated record. The transcript has 3 exons.